CUCCUCAUCGUCCUCCUCGACCUGCUCCUCCCGCCCGCACUCCUCUCCAACUUCCUCCGCGCCGGCGUCCACCAUGCCUCCGCACAUAGCGUCCUCGCCCAGGCCAGGGGCUUCCACUUCCGCUCCUCCCUCGUCGACCUCCCCGCCGUGUCCGCCGCCCGCUCCCUCCUCAUCCUCUACGCGUACACGGCGUGCGGGGGCGGCGCGGCCUACCUGUGGGUGGUGGCGGCCUGCAGCGUCGGCUCCCUCUUCUACGUCCUCGCCAAGGCCGUCGGCAGAUUGGCCAUGCGUAUGAAUCUGUCAAGGUAUGAAUCCAACCCCUCCCCUCCCCUCCGCCUGCCUCAGCUCCUCCCUCGCGUGCUGCGAAUCUCGACCCGAUCUUGGCUGGCAGCAGAUUGA
Molecule: ribosomal RNA, 399 nt
Filed under: Triticum aestivum (bread wheat)
Lineage: Eukaryota; Viridiplantae; Streptophyta; Magnoliopsida; Poales; Poaceae
Description: partial small subunit ribosomal RNA
Source: RNAcentral